GAGCAGCAGGUCUUUUCAGAGACACGUGGGGCUACAGCGAGGCGCGGUCCUGGUACCCCGGGCUCUCCGAGGGGCCCUGAAAGGCACGCCUACCGGGAGCAGCUUUUCUGUUCCAGGAUCCCAAGGAGGAUACCACGUACCAUGUAGUCAUCAUGUCUCCUCAGGCUCCUCUUGGCUGCUCUUCCUCAAAUCUCUACCUCCUCCAUGUAGGCCUCUGCAAUCAAUUCAGUCUUUCAAGAGGUUAGAGAAGGAAAGGAUUAAGGAAUACCUGCGGCCUCUUUCUAAUUGUUUUGCCUGUCAAAAUGCUGUCUUCCCAAGAGAACGUCAAUAAACCUCAGGAUUUUUUUUGUUGAAUGAUGAGAAUGAAAUUUUAUGGUUCUGAUGAUAUAUGCUUAAAUAAAAAGAUGACUGAUAUCAAAUAUUUUAUUACUGAAUUAGUU
Long non-coding RNA from Equus quagga, 440 nucleotides. RefSeq lists it as uncharacterized. Lineage: Eukaryota; Metazoa; Chordata; Mammalia; Perissodactyla; Equidae. The record is from RefSeq and is a predicted model, not a curated record. The transcript has 3 exons.